RNAcentral lists this ribosomal RNA (252 nucleotides) under uncultured bacterium. RNAcentral's name for it is "partial 16S ribosomal RNA". It matches the Rfam family "Bacterial small subunit ribosomal RNA", at positions 524 to 776 of the family's 1533-position model. The record is from RNAcentral.
UACGGAGGAUGCGAGCGUUAUCCGGAUUUAUUGGGUUUAAAGGGUGCGUAGGCGGAUCGUUAAGUCAGUGGUCAAAUUGAGGGGCUCAACCCCUUCCCGCCAUUGAAACUGGCGAUCUUGAGUGGAAGAGAAGUAUGCGGAAUGCGUGGUGUGGCGGUGAAAUGCAUAGAUAUCACGCAGAACCCCGAUUGCGAAGGCAGCAUGCCGGCUUCCUACUGACGCUGAAGCACGAAAGCGUGGGGAUCGAACAGG